This 430-nucleotide ribosomal RNA is filed under the name uncultured bacterium. RNAcentral describes it as "bacterial SSU rRNA". It matches the Rfam family "Bacterial small subunit ribosomal RNA", at positions 355 to 775 of the family's 1533-position model. The record is from RNAcentral.
UGCGGAAUUUUAGAUAAUGGAGGCAACUCUGAUCUAGCGACGCCGCGUGCAGGAAGAAGGUCUUCAGAUUGUAAACUGCUGUGGUAAGGGAAAAAUGUCAUGUAGAGUGGAAGGCUACAUGGAGGGAUGGUACUUUACUAGAAAGCCCCGGCUAACUACGUGCCAGCAGUCGCGGUAAUACGUAGGGGGCGAGCGUUACCCGGAAUCACUGGGCGUAAAGGGAGCGUAGGUGGCCUGACAUGUCAACUGUGAAAACCCGGAGCUCAACUCCGGACUUGCAGUUGAAACUGCCAGGCUUGAGGACGGUAGAGGAAGACGGAACUGCCAGUGUAGGGGUAAAAUCCUUAGAUAUUGGCAGGAACGCCGGUGACGAAGGUGGUUUUCUGGGCCGGUUCUGACACUGAUGCUCGAAAGCCAGGGGAGCGAACGG